AAUAAACGCUGGCGGCGUGCCUAACACAUGCAAGUCGAGCGAGAAAGCUCCUUCGGGAGUUAGUAAAGCGGCGAACGGGUGAGCAACACGUGAGAAUCUACCCUUUAGUGAAGAAUACCCUCGAGAAAUCGAGGCUAAUACUGCAUACGUCCCUUCGGGGAGAAAGAUGGCCUCUUUGCUAUCGCUAAAGGAUGAGCUUGCGUACUAUUAGCUAGUUGGCGGGGUAAAGGCCCACCAAGGCAAUGAUGGUUAACCGGCCUGAGAGGGUGUACGGUCACACUGGAACUUAGACACGGUCCAGACUCCUACGGGAGGCAGCAGUGAGGAAUCUUGCGCAAUGGGCGAAAGCCUGACGCAGCGACGCCGCGUGGAGGAUGACGGUUUUCGGAUUGUAAACUCCUGUUAAGCGGGAAGAAAGCCUUGUUUCUAAUACAAGCAAGGUAUGACGGUACCGCUAGAGAAAGCACCGGCUAACUUCGUGCCAGCAGCCGCGGUAAAGUCGUCA
RNAcentral lists this ribosomal RNA (505 nucleotides) under uncultured bacterium. RNAcentral describes it as "bacterial SSU rRNA". It matches the Rfam family "Bacterial small subunit ribosomal RNA", at positions 29 to 529 of the family's 1533-position model. The record is from RNAcentral.